UACGGAGGGGACUAGCGUUGUUCGGAAUUACUGGGCGUAAAGCGCACGUAGGCGGAUUUGUAAGUCAGGGGUGAAAUCCCGGGGCUCAACCUCGGAACUGCCUUUGAUACUGCAAAUCUCGAGUCCGGAAGAGGUGAGUGGAAUUCCUAGUGUAGAGGUGAAAUUCGUAGAUAUUAGGAAGAACACCGGUGGCGAAGGCGGGUCUCUGGGCCGAUACUGACGCUGAGGAGCGAAAGCGUGGGGAGCGAACAGG
This 253-nucleotide ribosomal RNA is filed under the name uncultured bacterium. RNAcentral's name for it is "partial 16S ribosomal RNA". It matches the Rfam family "Bacterial small subunit ribosomal RNA", at positions 524 to 776 of the family's 1533-position model. The record is from RNAcentral.